GACGAACGCUGGCGGCGCGCUUAACACAUGCAAGUCGAACGGAAAGGCCUGCUUUCCCUUGUGGAUUGCGGGUACUCGAGUGGCGAACGGGUGAGUAACACGUGAGUGAUCUGCCCCCAACUUGGGUAUAAGCCUGGGAAACUGGGUCUAAUUCCCGAUAGGACUGCAGGGUGGUGCCUGUGGUGGAAAACGAUUUUCUAGUGGUUGGGGAUGAGCUCGCGGCCUAUCAGCUUGUGGGUGGGGUAAUGGCCUACCAAGGCGGCGACGGGUGGCCGGCCUGGGAGGGUGGACGGCCACAUUGGGACUGAGAUACGGCCCAGACUCCUACGGGAGGCAGCAGUGGGGAAUAUUGCACAAUGGGCGGAAGCCUGAUGCAGCGACGCCGCGUGGGGGAUGACGGCCUUCGGGUUGUAAACUCCUUUCGACCGCGAGGAAGCCACCUGGUUGGAAGGGUGGUGACGGUAGUGGUAGAAGAAGCACCGGCUAACUACGUG
This 494-nucleotide ribosomal RNA is filed under the name uncultured bacterium. Its description in RNAcentral is "partial 16S ribosomal RNA". It matches the Rfam family "Bacterial small subunit ribosomal RNA", at positions 28 to 507 of the family's 1533-position model. The record is from RNAcentral.